CAGUAGCCGCGGGAAUACGGAGGGGGCUAGCGUUGUUCGGAAUUACUGGGCGUAAAGCGCACGUAGGCGGCUUGGUAAGUUAGAGGUGAAAGCCCGGAGCUCAACUCCGGAAUUGCCUUUAAGACUGCCGAGCUAGCAGGUGAGAGAGGUAAGUGGAAUUCCGAGUGUAGAGGUGAAAUUCGUAGAUAUUCGGAAGAACACCAGUGGCGAAGGCGGCUUACUGGCUCAUACUGGACGCUGAGGUGCGAAAGCGUGGGGAGCAAACAGGAUUAGAUACCCCAGUAGUCCCUGUCUCUUAUAA
RNAcentral lists this ribosomal RNA (301 nucleotides) under uncultured bacterium. Its description in RNAcentral is "partial 16S ribosomal RNA". It matches the Rfam family "Bacterial small subunit ribosomal RNA", at positions 509 to 809 of the family's 1533-position model. The record is from RNAcentral.